Molecule: ribosomal RNA, 468 nt
Filed under: uncultured bacterium
Lineage: Bacteria
Description: partial 16S ribosomal RNA
Rfam family: Bacterial small subunit ribosomal RNA
Source: RNAcentral
GACGAACGCUGGCGGCGUGCUUAACACAUGCCAGUCGAACGGAAAGGCCCUGCUCUUGUGGGGUGCUCGAGUGGCGAACGGGUGAGUAACACGUGAGUAACCUGCCCUUGACUUUGGGAUAACUUCAGGAAACUGGGGCUAAUACCGGAUAGGAGCUCCUGCUGCAUGGUGGGGGUUGGAAAGUUUCGGAGGUUGGGGAUGGACUCGCGGCUUAUCAGCUUGUUGGUGGGGUAGUGGCUUACCAAGGCUUUGACGGGUAGCCGGCCUGAGAGGGUGACCGGCCCCAUUGGGACUGAGAUACGGCCCAGACGCCUACGGGAGGCAGCAGUGGGGAAUAGUGCACAAUGGGCGGAAGCCUGAUGCAGCAACGCCGCGUGCGGGAUGACGGCCGUCGGGUUGUAAACCGCUUUCGCCUGUGACGAAGAGUGAGUGACGGUAAUGAGUAAAGAAGCACCGGCUAACUACGUG